This 253-nucleotide ribosomal RNA is filed under the name uncultured bacterium. RNAcentral describes it as "partial 16S ribosomal RNA". It matches the Rfam family "Bacterial small subunit ribosomal RNA", at positions 524 to 776 of the family's 1533-position model. The record is from RNAcentral.
UACGUAGGGGGCAAGCGUUGUCCGGAUUUAUUGGGCGUAAAGAGCGUGUAGGCGGCCUGGUAGGUCAGCUGUGAAAACUCGAGGCUCAACCUCGAGACGUCGGUUGAAACCACCUGGCUAGAGUCCGGAAGAGGAGAGUGGAAUUCCCGGUGUAGCGGUGAAAUGCGCAGAUAUCGGGAAGAACACCGGUGGCGAAGGCGGGUCUCUGGGCCGAUACUGACGCUGGGGCGCGAAAGCGUGGGGAGCAAACAGG